GACGAACGCUGGCGGCGUGCUUAACACAUGCAAGUCGAACGGAAAGGUCCUGCUUUUGUGGGGUGCUCGAGUGGCUAACGGGUGAGUAACAAGUGAGUAACCUGCCCUUGACUUUGGGAUAACUUCAGGAAACUGGGGCUAAUACCGGAUAGGAGCUCCUGCUGCAUGGUGGGGGUUGGAAAGUUUCGGCGGUUUGGGAUGGACUCGCGGCUUAUCAGCUUGUUGGUGGGGUAGUGGCUUACCAAGGCUUUGACGGGUAGCCGGCCUGAGAGGGUGAACGGCCACAUUGGGACUGAGAUACGGCCCAGACUCCUACGGGAGGCAGCAGUGGGGAAUAUUGCACAAUGGGCGGAAGCCUGAUGCAGCAACGCCGCGUGCGGGAUGACGGCCUUCGGGUUGUAAACCGCUUUCGCCUGUGACGAAGCGUGAGUGACGGUAAUGGGUAAAGAAGCACCGGCUAACUACGUG
RNAcentral lists this ribosomal RNA (468 nucleotides) under uncultured bacterium. Its description in RNAcentral is "partial 16S ribosomal RNA". It matches the Rfam family "Bacterial small subunit ribosomal RNA", at positions 28 to 507 of the family's 1533-position model. The record is from RNAcentral.